This 58-nucleotide transfer RNA is filed under the name Salmo salar (Atlantic salmon). It matches the Rfam family "tRNA", at positions 8 to 63 of the family's 71-position model. From Rfam's summary of the family: Transfer RNA (tRNA) molecules are approximately 80 nucleotides in length. The record is from Rfam by way of RNAcentral. Lineage: Eukaryota; Metazoa; Chordata; Actinopteri; Salmoniformes; Salmonidae. RNAcentral also lists the same sequence under 1 other name.
UGGCUCAGUUGGUAGAGCAUGGUGUUUGCAAUGCCAGGGUUAUGGGUUCGAUUCCCAC